Oreochromis aureus is the source of this 1357-nucleotide long non-coding RNA. Lineage: Eukaryota; Metazoa; Chordata; Actinopteri; Cichliformes; Cichlidae. The record is from Ensembl.
CACAUAUCAUCCUUAAAUUAUAAAUUUCCUGUCCAAAUCUGCCCCUCUGAACAGACCUGACCACCGUAAUCAAAUAUCCUGAUACUUUACCAUUAUAUAUUUCUCCCAAUACUCUUCAACAGCCACUGCUCUCUCUUGAACUGAACCGAAAGCCUCCGACACACACGCACACAGGAAGUGUCUUUGUCACUCACUCACUCCAGCUAAUUUGCAUAAACCCACAGCUCAACAGCCAACUUAACAAGAGGAAUACAUGUUUAAACUUUAUCACAUUAUUGAAUUAUUUUCAUUUUCUUUCUAUACUAAUCACUUGUUUUAAUCACUCAGUGCAAAAGCACUGCUGAGUCACUCUUAUAAACACUCUUCUUUUGUUUUUCCAUCUAUUUUAAAUCUUUCCAUCAGUUGUAUUAACCAUUCACACCAUUCUCUCACUCAUACAAGCAGCAAGCAGAUCUUCAUUGCAUAUGCUUGUGUUCUUAGCCAGGUUUUAAUAUCUAUUCAUUAAUCUUCAUGAGCUUGUCUCUGUAAGAUUAAUGCAUUCUCUGUCUAUAUGUGUGUGUGUACGUGUUAUUUUGCAUCUAUGGCUUCACAGUCUCCCAAACUCCUUCCCAAUUCUCCAGUUAAGCAGUCAGUUUUCUUUUUCCCCAGUUACUAACCCACAUUUUGAUUUCCCACCUUAAAUAAAGCACUCCUAGUCUUCAGCCAGGAGCUAGGGCCUGUUUUCCAGGUUCAUGGACACAUGAUUCUGUGAACAAUUCAACCAGAAACUUGCCUUAACUUAUCUACAAUUUCCUUCCGACUGGUGCAUCUGGAGAACUGGUCCAGGUCUGCUUUACCCUGAAAAUAACAAAACUAAGACAUUUCCAUUAUUAUCACAAGUGCUUAAAUAACCCAUUUCUCUGUCUCUGGUCAGAAACACCAAUUAUGCCAUGCAUGUAAGCGUGUUCUUCCCUGCAUUUUAUGUUAAUUGGGUGUAAACUGCUUCUUCAUUAAAUUAACUCAUUGAGUUCUUCGUUGCCUUGCGAUGUAUUCAUGUUAAUGUACACUACGUGUAAGCUGUUUCUUCAUUGCAUCCGAUAUAUUCAUAUUUAAUUUAUGCAUUUCACCACUGAGCUUUAGAUUCAAACUAUCUCACUUCUGAUUCAUUUCAAAAAUAAUCUCACAUGUAACAAUUUGUAUGUGUGUUUUCUAUUCAUUAAGGUAAUGACAAUUAUUUUCGUUCAUUAUUCCUACCUUUUCUAAUGUUUACCUCUUUGUUAUGCUGUAGUGGACAUCCCUAAACAAUUCAUGAGUUCAGGUUUCAAUUUUCAAUCCAAUUAUAUCCUAUAUUCUCGCAGUCAAACUCGUCCAGCUUCAU